AGAUAUUUAUUUUAAUGAAAAAUUUUUAUUUGCAAAAUAAAAAGAUUUAUUAUCUU
Molecule: transfer RNA, 56 nt
Filed under: Heterodera glycines (soybean cyst nematode)
Lineage: Eukaryota; Metazoa; Nematoda; Chromadorea; Rhabditida; Heteroderidae
Description: tRNA-Cys
Source: RNAcentral